ACGCUCGACACCUACGGGGGCAGCAGUGGGGAAUAUUGGGCAAUGGGCGCAAGCCUGACCCAGCAACGCCGCGUGAAGGAAGAAGGCUUUCGGGUUGUAAACUUCUUUUGUCAGGGAACAGUAGAAGAGGGUACCUGACGAAUAAGCUCCGGCUAACUACGUGCCAACAGCCGCGGUAAUCUGAGCGGGCUGGCAAGGC
This 199-nucleotide ribosomal RNA is filed under the name uncultured bacterium. RNAcentral describes it as "partial 16S ribosomal RNA". It matches the Rfam family "Bacterial small subunit ribosomal RNA", at positions 328 to 539 of the family's 1533-position model. The record is from RNAcentral.